RNAcentral lists this ribosomal RNA (271 nucleotides) under uncultured Smithella sp. Its description in RNAcentral is "partial 16S ribosomal RNA". It matches the Rfam family "Bacterial small subunit ribosomal RNA", at positions 1110 to 1382 of the family's 1533-position model. Lineage: Bacteria; Pseudomonadati; Thermodesulfobacteriota; Syntrophia; Syntrophales; Smithellaceae. The record is from RNAcentral.
CUUAAUUGCCAGCAUUCAGUUGGGCACUUUAAAGAGACUGCCGGUGUUAAACCGGAGGAAGGUGGGGAGUGACGUCAAGUCCUCAUGGCCUUAUGCUUAGGGCUACACACGUGCUACAAUGGGUGGUACAAAGAGAAGCCAACUCGCGAGAGCGCGCCAAUCUCAAAAAGCCAUCCUCAGUUCGGAUUGGAGUCUGCAACUCGACUCCAUGAAGUUGGAAUCGCUAGUAAUCGCGGAUCAGCAUGCCGCGGUGAAUACGUUCCCGGGCCUU